CACAAAGGAGCGAUUUAUAAUGAUCUAUUUAACCAGAAACCAUAUUUUCUUUUUCUCAGUUUAAAAUGCUGACUUUAAUACGUCUAAUAUUCGUUUUACAUAAAUUUACAUUUAGUUUAUUUAUCUGUUUAGAAAAUAGUUUAAUAUCUGUUGUAGUUAAGAUUGUGUCUCUCUGAUUGGUCAGUUUCUGAGCUCAUUUGCAUUUCCUAUUCCUCCUCUUUCAGUCCAGACUUUUAAAGAGUUUUUUCUUCUUAAUGUUUUUGUAUUUGCUUCAAUGUAAAAUGUUGUGUAGUUUAUGACAUGGUAGUUUAUGGUACAUGGUUAUUGUACAUGGAAGGUAACGGUGUAGUUUAUGUAGUUUAUUAAAUCUCCUGUAAAUAAGUCAGUGUCUGCAGUCCUCCUGAGUUGUGUAGUGAAGUAUCGCUUCUCGGCCUUUUGGCUAAGAUCAAGUGUAGUAUCUGUUCUUAUCAGUUUAAUAUCUGAUACGUCCCCUAUCCGGGGACCAUAUAUUAAAUUGAUUUUUGGAACAGGGAGAUGGAAUAGGGGCUUGCUCCGUCCACUCCACGCAUCGACCCGGUAUUGCAGUACAUCCGGGAACGGUGCACCCCAUAAUAAAGUGAAAGAAAGAUUAUAACAUUCUUUAUCACCUCUACUUUUUAUAAUUUUAUAUAAGCGAAGUUGUGCAUACGAGAUGAUUGUAGUUAAAUGUGUUCAGUGUACAGUGAAUAAUUCUAGUAGAAGUUAUAGUUAAGGAUGUAGGAUCAGUGUGUGCUCAUUUACUACCGGCUUUAUUUCUUUAAAUUAUUAUUUUAACACGAUUUAAAUCUCAACUUUCAGCGAUUAUAACAACCACAACAAUAUUGUGUACAGUUAAACUUAAUUUGGCACUAAAUACUUAAAAAACGACGUCUCGGAAACAUAUAAUUACACGGGUAAUAAAUCAUAACUAAUAAAUGAAUAUCAGUCAGACUCAUUACCGGCCGAGCAGUUGAUAUAUAGUGAGAAAUUUUAAAGUAUUUGUCUGAUUUAUUUGUGGUGAUUUGUGGUCUGGAGUCAGACUAAAAAAGGAACUAAUUUACUUCCGGGAUCGCUCUUAGCUCUUAUUACGUAUUCAGAGCAUUGCAUCAUGGGAAAUUUCAUUCUGCUCACAACAUAUUUAAAAAAAAUGCUAAAUAAUUGACGUCGUUCAGAAACACGGUAUUCGUUAUGAGUGUUUAGAUUGUACGGUUUUCCAUGUGCAUGUGUGUGUAAUAAAUGAGAAAUGUCACUCACCAUGAUGGUAAAGUGUGUGUGUGAUGGUGACGGCGCUCCACAGUCCGUUUCCAACUCAUACUUACCUGGCAGGGGAGAUACCAUGAUCAAGAAGGUGGUUCACCCAGGGCGAGGCUCAACCAUUGCACUCCGGUUGUGCUGACCCCUGCGAAUUCCCCAAAUGUGGGAAUCUCGACUGCAUAAUUUAUGGUAGUGGGGGACUGCGUUCGCGCUCUCCCCUGAU
Silurus meridionalis is the source of this 1495-nucleotide long non-coding RNA. RefSeq lists it as uncharacterized. The transcript has 2 exons. The record is from RefSeq and is a predicted model, not a curated record. Lineage: Eukaryota; Metazoa; Chordata; Actinopteri; Siluriformes; Siluridae.